This 440-nucleotide ribosomal RNA is filed under the name Pseudomonas aeruginosa. Its description in RNAcentral is "partial 23S ribosomal RNA". It matches the Rfam family "Bacterial large subunit ribosomal RNA", at positions 2505 to 2925 of the family's 2925-position model. Lineage: Bacteria; Pseudomonadati; Pseudomonadota; Gammaproteobacteria; Pseudomonadales; Pseudomonadaceae. The record is from RNAcentral.
UCGACGGCGGUGUUUGGCACCUCGAUGUCGGCUCAUCACAUCCUGGGGCUGAAGCCGGUCCCAAGGGUAUGGCUGUUCGCCAUUUAAAGUGGUACGCGAGCUGGGUUUAGAACGUCGUGAGACAGUUCGGUCCCUAUCUGCCGUGGACGUUUGAGAUUUGAGAGGGGCUGCUCCUAGUACGAGAGGACCGGAGUGGACGAACCUCUGGUGUUCCGGUUGUCACGCCAGUGGCAUUGCCGGGUAGCUAUGUUCGGAAAAGAUAACCGCUGAAAGCAUCUAAGCGGGAAACUUGCCUCAAGAUGAGAUCUCACUGGGAACUUGAUUCCCCUGAAGGGCCGUCGAAGACUACGACGUUGAUAGGCUGGGUGUGUAAGCGUUGUGAGGCGUUGAGCUAACCAGUACUAAUUGCCCGUGAGGCUUGACCAUAUAACACCCAAACA